This 303-nucleotide ribosomal RNA is filed under the name uncultured bacterium. RNAcentral's name for it is "partial 16S ribosomal RNA". It matches the Rfam family "Bacterial small subunit ribosomal RNA", at positions 507 to 807 of the family's 1533-position model. The record is from RNAcentral.
AGCAGCAGCCGCGGUAAUACGAAGGGGGCUAGCGUUGUUCGGAAUUACUGGGCGUAAAGGGCGCGUAGGCGGCCAUUCAAGUUAGAUGUGAAAGCCCUGGGCUCAACCUAGGAAUUGCAUUUGAUACUGUUUGGCUUGAGUUCGGGAGAGGUGAGUGGAAUUCCCAGUGUAGAGGUGAAAUUCGUAGAUAUUGGGAAGAACACCAGUGGCGAAGGCGGCUCACUGGACCGACACUGACGCUGAGGCGCGAAAGCGUGGGGAGCAAACAGGAUUAGAUACCCCAGUAGUCCCUGUCUCUUAUAC